CUCCGGAAAAACGCCCCGACUUCCUGCCCCGCCAGAGCCAGGAAGCGGGAGCCGGGACCCAGGGCCCGGGAUUGCCGAGCCCGACCUCGGGCGCCCCGCCGGUCACCUCCGCGCGGACACCAGCCCUGCAGAGCCCAGGGAGAUGGAAGACGUUGCCCGAGGGGCGGCCUCCCCAGGCCCCUCCCGGCCUGGCCUGGUUCCCGUCAGCAUCAUCGGGGCAGAGGAUGAGGAUUUUGAGAACGAGCUGGAGACGAACUCAGAAGAGCAAAACAGCCAGUUCCAGAGCCUGGAGCAGGUGAAGCGGCGCCCAGCCCACCUCAUGGCCCUCCUGCAGCACGUGGCCCUGCAGUUUGAGCCAGGACCCCUGCUUUGCUGUCUGCAUGCCGACAUGCUGGGCUCACUGGGCCCCAAGGAGGCCAAGAAGGCCUUCCUGGACUUCUAUCACAGCUUCCUGGAGAAGACAGCGGUUCUGCGGGUGCCAGUCCCUCCCAAUGUCGCCUUUGAACUUGACCGCACUCGGGCUGACCUCAUCUCUGAGGAUGUCCAGCGGCGGUUCGUGCAGGAGGUGGUGCAAAGCCAGCAGACAGCCGUGGGCCGGCAGCUGGAGGACUUCCGCUCCAAGCGGCUCAUGGGCAUGACGCCCUGGGAGCAGGAGCUGGCCCAGCUGGAGGCUUGGGUUGGGCGAGACCGAGCCAGCUACGAGGCCCGGGAGCGGCACGUGGCGGAGCGACUGCUCAUGCACCUGGAGGAGAUGCAACAUACCAUCUCUACCGAUGAAGAAAAGAGUGCUGCCGUGGUCAACGCCAUUGGCGUGUACAUGCGCCACCUUGGGGUGCGGACCAAGAGUGGGGACAAGAAGUCGGGGAGGAACUUCUUCCGGAAAAAGGUGAUGGGGAACCGGCGGUCGGACGAGCCUGCCAAGACCAAGAAGGGGCUGAGCAGCAUCCUGGAUGCCGCCCGCUGGAACCGGGGAGAGCCCCAGGUUCCAGAUUUUCGACACCUCAAAGCAGAGGUUGAUGCUGAGAAGCCAGGUGCUACAGACCGGAAGGGAGGCCUGGGGAUGCCCUCUCGGGACCGGAAUGUUGGGGCUUCUGGGCAGGACACCCCUGGAGUCUCUCUGCACCCUCUGUCCCUGGACAGCCCAGACCGGGAACCAGGUGCCGACGCCCCCCUGGAGCUGGGGGACUUAUCCCCACAGGGCCCAAUGAGCCUGGAGCCCCCGGCGCCCCCAGAGAGUACCGAUGAGGGGGCCGAAACCGAGAGAAGGUGGAAGAGGCUAUCAGGGCGUCUGGGGCGCUCAGAGAGCCUGCGGGUGAGUGACCGCCGCCGGCCUUCCCGGGGCAGCCUCGGGGCUAAGGGCCGGGGUGGGGGCCGCUCCCGGAGCGACGUGGACAUGGACCCCAGUUCCGCCACGGCAGUGCUUGGCCCUGCCCGACGAGCCACCCCUGAGCCUGGAGAUGAGGGGGAGCCGGGGCGGUCAGGACUGGAGCUUGAACCAGAAGAGCCUCCCGGCUGGCGGGAACUUGUCCCACCAGACACCCUGCAUAGCCUGCCCAAGAGCCAGGUGAAGCGGCAGGAGGUCAUCAGUGAGCUGCUGGUGACAGAAGCGGCCCACGUGCGCAUGCUGCGGGUGCUGCACGACCUCUUCUUCCAGCCCAUGGCGGAUGGCCUCUUCUUCUCCCUGGAGGAGCUGCAGAACAUCUUCCCCAGCCUGGACGAGCUCAUCGAGGUGCAUUCCCUGUUCCUCGAUCGCCUGAUGAAGCGGAGGCAGGAGAGUGGCUACCUCAUCGAGGAGAUCGGAGACGUGCUGCUGGCCCGGUUUGAUGGUGCUGAGGGCUCCUGGUUCCAGAAAAUCUCCUCCCGCUUCUGCAGCCGCCAGUCGUUUGCCUUAGAGCAGCUCAAAGCCAAGCAACGCAAGGAGCCUCGGUUCUGUGCCUUCGUGCAGGAAGCUGAGAGCCGCCCACGGUGCCGCCGUCUGCAGCUGAAGGACAUGAUUCCCACGGAGAUGCAGCGGCUGACCAAGUACCCCCUGCUUCUGCAGAGCAUCGGGCAGAACACAGAAGAGCCCACAGAACGGGAGAAAGUGGAGCUGGCAGCCGAGUGCUGCCGGGAAAUUCUGCACCACGUCAACCAAGCCGUGCGUGACAUGGAGGACCUGCUGAGGCUCAAGGACUAUCAGCGGCGCCUGGACUUGUCCCACCUUCGGCAGAGCAGCGACCCCAUGCUAAGCGAGUUCAAGAACCUGGACAUCACCAAGAAGAAAUUGGUCCACGAGGGCCCACUGACGUGGCGGGUGACAAAGGACAAGGCUGUGGAGGUGCAUGUGCUGCUGCUGGAUGACCUGCUGCUGCUGCUCCAGCGCCAGGAUGAGCGGCUGCUGCUCAAGUCCCAUAGCCGGACGCUGACGCCCACGCCUGACGGCAAGACCAUGCUGCGGCCUGUGCUGCGGCUCACCUCUGCCAUGACCCGCGAGGUGGCCACCGAUCACAAAGCCUUCUACGUCCUUUUUACCUGGGACCAGGAGGCCCAGAUAUACGAGCUGGUGGCACAGACUGUGUCGGAGCGGAAGAACUGGUGUGCCCUCAUCACCGAGACUGCCGGAUCCCUGAAAGUCCCUGCCCCUGCCUCUCGCCCUAAGCCCCGGCCCAGCCCGAGCAGGGCCAGGAGUGUGGGGUCACCCAGCACUUCCUCCCCUCAGCACCCGAGAACCCCUCCUCAGCAGCUCUGAGAACGGCAAUGGUGGCCGAGAGACGUCUCCGGCUGAUGCCCGGACCGAGAGAAUCCUCAGUGACCUCCUGCCCUUCUGCAGACCAGGCCCCGAGGGCCAGCUCGCUGCCACGGCCCUUCGGAAAGUGCUGUCCCUGAAGCAGCUUCUGUUUCCGGCGGAGGAAGACAAUGGGGCGGGGCCUCCUCGAGAUGGGGAUGGGGUCCCAGGGGGCGGCCCCCUGAGCCCAGCACGGACCCAGGAAAUCCAGGAGAACCUGCUCAGCUUGGAGGAGACCAUGAAGCAGCUGGAGGAGCUGGAGGAGGAAUUUUGCCGCCUGCGACCCCUCCUGUCUCAGCUUGGGGGGAACUCUGUCUCCCAGCCUGGCUGCACUUGAGGUCCCUGUCCAGGAAGGCCUUUUGCAAGAAGGAGAGGAAUGGGGGAGAGGACGUGAGGGACCACCCCCACCCACACAGCUGCCGCAGCAUCUCACACCCUGAGGGCCUGAGGAGAGGGAGCUGUGGGCCACGCCUGGGAGGGGCCCAGCUGGGGUCACUGGCCCUGCAUGAGCCUCGGCCAUCUCUCCCUCCUGCCCUCUGCUUGGGGGACUCAGGGCUUCAUUCCGGAGGGCACCAUGGUGACCCGGGCCAUCUCAGUAUUGCCUGUGGGGGCCACCCCUCCACUCCCCACCCCCAAGUGCCUUCGCUCUGUUUUUAUACCCUGAAUUGGAGGUUUAUUUUUUAAUAUAUAUUAUCUAAGAA
Molecule: RNA transcript, 3465 nt
Organism: Cercocebus atys (sooty mangabey)
Lineage: Eukaryota; Metazoa; Chordata; Mammalia; Primates; Cercopithecidae
Gene: ARHGEF1
Gene name: Rho guanine nucleotide exchange factor (GEF) 1
Exons: 31
Source: RefSeq, a predicted model, not a curated record